RNAcentral lists this long non-coding RNA (263 nucleotides) under Sorghum bicolor (sorghum). RNAcentral's name for it is "long non-coding RNA (SBIC_LNC008853)". Lineage: Eukaryota; Viridiplantae; Streptophyta; Magnoliopsida; Poales; Poaceae. The record is from RNAcentral.
CCACAGAUGGUAAACCAAGGACUCAGAAACAACACCAACACAAGCUCAAGCUCUCAAGCACGAGCAACACCAUCCACCUAAGUAUUGUAGUAGUAAGAGUGUCAUGUACUCUGAAUAAGAGACCCAUAUUUGAGCCUGUGUGAGAGUCUAAUGAGAGCCAUCUUAUAAAAAAGUCCCUGUACUAUGUUCGUGUGUAUCAAGAGCCUGGUGUACUACUCAGAGGCAUUCACCUUCGACUAUCAACGUACCUAAUAUAAUCCAGG